AAAUCCUUGGAUGGGAUCCAAGCAAGUAAGUUCAUAAUAUGAUGAACUAAGAGAUUUUAUAAUAAAUAAAUGGGGAAUAAUGUAAUUCCUGUGAUGUUGUUUUAGGUGAUUAAGGAUUUGUCACCUGGACUUGAGCAAUUUGGAAAGCGAAUUGAUGUAAGUAAUCUAUUUUAAUCUUAUUGUGGAUCAUAUUACUAUGUUUGUUAAGUUUUUAAAGUGUUAUUCAUGCAUGAUAUGUUAUGAUGGAUAAGUAACUUGCAUGAUCUCAUAAACUAUGGCCAUGUAUGCACCAUGAUUAUGCUGAUAUUUUAAUCAUGCAUGCAAGUUAGUAUAAUGAAAUACUAUCUAGCCAAGAGGUACUAUAAUGGGCUCAAAGAUGCUACUGAUCGAAUGCAACUGAGCUGGCCUUGCUAGUGGCCGAGAAUGACUAAGCUGGCCUUGCUAGUGGCCGAAAAUGACUAAGCUGGCCCCGCCAGUGGCCGAGAAUGACUUCGCAGUAGCAUCCGAGAGAAUGGACCACGGUAUGCCGGGGGCACGAUUUCAUGUGCGUGUUUUAUGAAAAUUCUGUUUGACUGAAAAUACUGCUUUGUUUUCCAAGCAUACAUAUUUUGCCAUGAUAAAUUGUGAGAUAAUACACAUGUCAGCUUCUCAAACCCUGCAUAAACAUGGUUACCAUUAUGUUCGAUCCAGUAAAAUUAUGUAUGAUUACUUACUGAGCUGUGUAGCUCAUACCCGUUAUAUUUUUUUCAGAUCACCACUGAAAGCUGCCAGAGACACUUUAAUUUUGUAUUAGGGCUUCUUUCUUUUGGGGUAAAGCAAGUAUACUUUUGUGUACAUAAACUACAUAGAAGCUCUGUAUUUGGGUACUGACCAGCAUGUUGUACUAAGAAUGCUUUCAUAUGAAAAGAUUUGGUUGGUUUGACUACCCUGUUACCCAUGUAUGAGGCUGCAUGCUAUUGUGGGCGGUAGUCGGCAAUAGCACGGCCGUGUCACGGAUCUGGAUCCAGGGCGUGACAUUCUCGUGGUAUCAGAGCAAUAGGUUAACCAUG
This 1049-nucleotide long non-coding RNA is filed under the name Phoenix dactylifera (date palm). RNAcentral's name for it is "long non-coding RNA (PDAC_LNC016218)". The record is from RNAcentral. Lineage: Eukaryota; Viridiplantae; Streptophyta; Magnoliopsida; Arecales; Arecaceae.